GGUUGCCAUUAUCCCAUGACAUUAAUCUCAAGAUUCUCUAAUAAACAAUUAAACAGUUUUUGAUCAAAGUUUUUGCUUAUUACACGAGUACUAACAAUUGUAGAAGUAUGUAAAAAGCUUCAUGCAUUACUGGGGAUGAAGCAUUAUGGAUUAUUGAUUCAGAGCAGCACUUAGUCUUGAAUACAAGUUUGUAUAGGCCACGUUGGGCUCUUAAUUCCAUCUAAUUCAUGGCUGAAGCUUUAUCUACAUGACCACUAUACUGGUAGAAUGAACUCAUCCCUCCUUUUAAUCAUGGGCGUCGAUGUUCCGGAGAAGAAUCCGUGAUGAGCAGCAUUUCCACCGUCGAUUAUUGCAGCCCCAGAUUUUUCACCUCCUUCUCUUUCACAUCCUUCCUCUCCUUACCUACAUAGUACAUAAUGAUUUCGUUAAAUAUCACGGUCUGGGACGAAAUAUGGCUUACGGGAAUCGCUCUUACUUGACACAAUGAAUAGCAACCCCAAAUUAGUUUUUUUUAUUUGUCAUCUUUCUGCUGGAGGU
Arabidopsis thaliana (thale cress) is the source of this 537-nucleotide long non-coding RNA. RefSeq annotates it as other RNA. Lineage: Eukaryota; Viridiplantae; Streptophyta; Magnoliopsida; Brassicales; Brassicaceae. The transcript has a single exon. The record is from RefSeq.